Long non-coding RNA from Lagenorhynchus albirostris (white-beaked dolphin), 246 nucleotides. RefSeq lists it as uncharacterized. The transcript has 3 exons. The record is from RefSeq and is a predicted model, not a curated record. Lineage: Eukaryota; Metazoa; Chordata; Mammalia; Artiodactyla; Delphinidae.
AAUUAAUCUGUAAUAAAGAAGUAAAAUCAGUUGAUUAUUCUUACUGUGAGAGUUUGGCUGGCUUCUUGAAUCGUAGAGUCAUAAAGGGUCAGCAGUUCUGAUUGAGGUUGAGCCGUUCGACCUGCUGCUCCGACCUGUUCCCUGGUAGCCAUACAUCAGACCAGUUGCAGAGAUUAUCCAUCGAGUGUCCCAGGCAACCAAAGAUAUUGAUGCUGAUAAUGGUAAAAGAUUGGUAGGGAAGCUCUU